AACGCGCAGAACCUUACCAGCCCUUGACAUCCCGUGACCGGUGGGAGAUGCACCUUUCCCUUCGGGGACGCAGAGACAGGUGCUGCAUGGCUGUCGUCAGCUCGUGUCGUGAGAUGUUGGGUUAGUCCCGCAACGAGCGCAACCCUCGCCCUUAGUUGCCAGCAUUCGGUUGGGCACUCUAAGGGGACUGCCGGUGAUAAGCGAGAGGAAGGUGGGGAUGACGUCAAGUCCUCAUGGCCCUUACGGGCUGGGCUACACACGUGCUACAAUGGUGGUGACAUGGGCAGCGAGCACGCGAGUGUGAGCUAAUCUCCAAAAGCCAUCUCAGUUCGGAUUGCACUCUGCAACUCGAGUGCAUGAAGUUGGAAUCGCUAGUAAUCGCGGAUCAGCACGUCCGCGG
Molecule: ribosomal RNA, 400 nt
Filed under: Rhizobium sp. CA56
Lineage: Bacteria; Pseudomonadati; Pseudomonadota; Alphaproteobacteria; Hyphomicrobiales; Rhizobiaceae
Description: bacterial SSU rRNA
Rfam family: Bacterial small subunit ribosomal RNA
Source: RNAcentral